GAUAUGAACCGUUAUAACCGGCGAUACCCGAAUGGGGAAACCCAGUGUGAUUCGUCACACUAUCAUUAACUGAAUCCAUAGGUUAAUGAGGCGAACCGGGGGAACUGAAACAUCUAAGUACCCCGAGGAAAAGAAAUCAACCGAGAUUCCCCCAGUAGCGGCGAGCGAACGGGGAGGAGCCCAGAGCCUGAAUCAGCAUGUGUGUUAGUGGAAGCGUCUGGAAAGGCGCGCGAUACAGGGUGACAGCCCCGUACACAAAAGCGCAUGUGCUGUGAGCUCGAUGAGUAGGGCGGGACACGUGGUAUCCUGUCUGAAUAUGGGGGGACCAUCCUCCAAGGCUAAAUACUCCUGACUGACCGAUAGUGAACCAGUACCGUGAGGGAAAGGCGAAAAGAACCCCGGCGAGGGGAGUGAAAAAGAACCUGAAACCGU
RNAcentral lists this ribosomal RNA (432 nucleotides) under Salmonella enterica. Its description in RNAcentral is "partial 23S ribosomal RNA". It matches the Rfam family "Bacterial large subunit ribosomal RNA", at positions 87 to 559 of the family's 2925-position model. Lineage: Bacteria; Pseudomonadati; Pseudomonadota; Gammaproteobacteria; Enterobacterales; Enterobacteriaceae. RNAcentral also lists the same sequence under 1 other name. The record is from RNAcentral.